CUAAUGUGUCAGAUCUAAUGUAUUAAAUUUAAGAUUUAAAUAUGAAAAUUAUUCCUUUAGUA
This 62-nucleotide transfer RNA is filed under the name Arytaina genistae. RNAcentral's name for it is "tRNA-Leu". The record is from RNAcentral. Lineage: Eukaryota; Metazoa; Arthropoda; Insecta; Hemiptera; Psyllidae.